Molecule: ribosomal RNA, 480 nt
Filed under: uncultured bacterium
Lineage: Bacteria
Description: partial 16S ribosomal RNA
Rfam family: Bacterial small subunit ribosomal RNA
Source: RNAcentral
AUGAACGCUGGCGGCGUGCUUAACACAUGCAAGUCGAACGAAGCAUUUGCGACAGAUUUUUUCGGAAUGAAGUUGCUUAUGACUGAGUGGCGGACGGGUGAGUAACGCGUGGGUAACCUGCCUUGUACUGGGGGAUAGCAGCUGGAAACGGCUGGUAAUACCGCAUAAGCGCACAAUGUUGCAUGACAUGGUGUGAAAAACUCCGGUGGUAUAAGAUGGACCCGCGUCUGAUUAGCUAGUUGGUGAGAUAACAGCCCACCAAGGCGACGAUCAGUAGCCGACCUGAGAGGGUGACCGGCCACAGUGGGACUGAGACACGGCCCAGACUCCUACGGGAAGCAGCAGUGGGGAAUAUUGCACAAUGGAGGAAACUCUGAUGCAGCGACGCCGCGUGAGUGAAGAAGUAAUUCGUUAUGUAAAGCUCUAUCAGCAGGGAAGAUAGUGACGGUACCUGACUAAGAAGCUCCGGCUAAAUACGUG